Molecule: small nucleolar RNA, 129 nt
Organism: Nycticebus coucang (slow loris)
Lineage: Eukaryota; Metazoa; Chordata; Mammalia; Primates; Lorisidae
Product: small nucleolar RNA SNORA70
Exons: 1
Source: RefSeq, a predicted model, not a curated record
CUGCAGCCAGUUAACCCACCAUGCUCCUUUCCUUGUGGGGGACUGAUCACAGUGGCUGCAAAGAGCAGCCCCCAUAGUGUAUGCAGCCUGUGCUUGUAUGGGUCGCUCUAAGGGACCUUGGGGUCAGAU